GAAAUUAUCAUGUCUACCUGUGAAGGUGUUGAAUAGAAGGAGUUGAAUAGAAGGUGUUGAAUAGAAGGAGUUGAAUAGAAGGAGUUGAAUAGAAGGAGUUGAAUAGAAGGUGUUGAAUAGAAGGAGUUGAAUAGAAGGUGUUGAAUAGAAGGAGUUGAAUAGAAGGAGUUGAAUAGAAGGAGUUGAAUAGAAGGUGUUGAAUAGAAGGAGUUGAAUAGAAGGUGUUGAAUAGAAGGAGUUGAAUAGAAGGAGUUGAAUAGAAGGUGUUGAAUAGAAGGAGUUGAAUAGAAGGAGUUGAAUAGAAGGAGUUGAAUAGAAGGAGUUGAAUAGAAGGUUGUCCAGUUUAACUGCUGAUUUGGUAAUAGUCUUGACCUCCAGGGUUGUGUUCAUUAGGCACAGUGUAGCAAAACAUUAAGAAGCUGGUGGCCACCAAUGAGUUGAAUAGAAGGUGUUGAAGAGAAGGUUGUCCAGAUUAACUGCUACUUUGGUAACAGCUUUGACCUCUAUAGCAGCUGUUAUAUCUGGGAUGACUGAAGACCUGAUGACAGGAGCCUCUGCUUAAUUAAUAGUCCUGCAAUUUAUCCCACGAACAGGGCCAUGUACCAAAAAACUCAUAAUAUAUCAAACAGUCAUAAUAACAGUCAACUUUAGUAUCGCAAUCAUCUAAAUAAUGUUGUACUCAACUUGUUGGAUCAGAAUCAGGGUUGUGUUCAUUAGGUACAGUGUAGCAAAACAUUAAAAAGCUGGUGGCCACCGGCUUCUUAAGAAGGCGAUGAUUGUGGACUACAGAAAAAGGAGGACCGAGCAUGCCCCCAUUCUCAUCAACAGGGCUGUAGUGGAGCAGGUUGAGAGUUUCAAGUUCCUUGGUGUCCACAUCAACAACAAACGAGAAUGGUCCAAACACACCAAGACAGUCAUGAAGAGGGCACGACAAAGCCUAUUCCCCCUCAGGAAACUAAAAAGAUUUGGCAUGGGUCCUCAGAUCCUCAAAAGGUUCUACAGCUGCAACAUCGAAAGCAUCCUGCCUGACUGGUUGCAUCACUGCCUGGUACGGCAAUAGCUCGACCUCUGACAGCAAGGCACUACAGAGGGUAGUGUGUACGGCCCAGUACAUCACUGGGGCUAAGCUGCCUGCCAUCCAGUACCUCUACACCAGGCGGUGUCAGAGGAAGGCUCUAAAAAUUGUCAAAGACCCCAGUCACCCCAGUCAUUGAAUGUUCUCUCUACUACCGCACGGCAAGCAGUACCGGAGUGCCAAGUCUAGGACAAAAAGGCUUCUCAACAGUUUUUACCCCCAAGCCAUAAGACCCCUGAACAGGUAAUCAAAUGGCUACCCAGACUAUUUGCAUUGUGUGCCUCCCCCAACCCCUCUUUUUACGCUGCUGCUACUCUCUGGUUAUCAUAUAUGCAUAGUCACUUUAACUACUACCUCAAUUGGGCCGACCAACCAGUGCUCCCGCACAGUGGCUAUCCGGGCUAUCUGCAUUGUGUCCCACCCACCAACCCCUCUUUUAGGCUACUGCUACUCUCUGUUCAUCAUAUUUGCAUAGUCACUUUAACCAUAUCUACAUGUACAUACUACCUCUAUCAGUCUGACUAACCGGUAUGUAUCCUUGCUACUUUUAUAGCCUCUCUACUGUAUAUAGCCUCUCUGCUGUUAUAGCCUCUCUACU
Molecule: long non-coding RNA, 1673 nt
Organism: Oncorhynchus keta (chum salmon)
Lineage: Eukaryota; Metazoa; Chordata; Actinopteri; Salmoniformes; Salmonidae
Exons: 4
Source: RefSeq, a predicted model, not a curated record